This 565-nucleotide ribosomal RNA is filed under the name uncultured bacterium. Its description in RNAcentral is "bacterial SSU rRNA". It matches the Rfam family "Bacterial small subunit ribosomal RNA", at positions 10 to 598 of the family's 1533-position model. The record is from RNAcentral.
AGUUUGAUCAUGGCUCAGGACGAACGCUGGCGGCGUGCCUAACACAUGCAAGUCGAACGGGGCCCGCAAGGGUUCAGUGGCGAACGGGUGCGUAACACGUGAAGAACUUGUCCAUCGGCGGGGGAUAGCCGGCCCAACGGCCGGGUAAUACCGCGUACGCCGGCGAGGGCGCAUGCCCAUGCCGGGAAAGCAGCAAUGCACCGAUGGAGAGCUUCGCGGCCUAUCAGCUUGUUGGCGGGGUAAUGGCCCACCAAGGCGACGACGGGUAGCUGGUCUGAGAGGAUGACCAGCCACAUUGGGACUGAGACACGGCCCAGACUCCUACGGGAGGCAGCAGUGGGGAAUAUUGCGCAAUGGGGGAAACCCUGACGCAGCGACGCCGCGUGUGGGAUGACGGCCUUCGGGUUGUAAACCACUGUCGGGAGGGACGAAGAUCUGACGGUACCUCCAAAGGAAGCACCGGCUAACUCUGUGCCAGCAGCCGCGGUAAUACAGAGGGUGCGAGCGUUGUCCGGAAUUACUGGGCGUAAAGGGCGCGUAGGCGGCCUGAUAAGUAGGGGGUGAA